CCUGAUCCAGCCAUACCGCGUGGGUGAAGAGGCUUCGGGUUGUAAAGCCCUUUUGUUGGGAAAGAAAAGCAGUCGGCUAAUACCCGGUUGUUCUGACGGUACCCAAAGAAUAAGCACCGGCUAACUUCGUGCCAGCAGCCGCGGUAAUACGAAGGGUGCAAGCGUUACUCGGAAUUACUGGGCGUAAAGCGUGCGUAGGUGGUUGUUUAAGUCUGUUGUGAAAGCCCUGGGCUCAACCUGGGAAUUGCAUUGGAUACUGGGCGACUAGAGUGUGGUAGAGGGUAGUGGAAUUCCCGGUGUAGCAGUGAAAUGCGUAGAGAUCGGGAGGAACAUCCAUGGCGAAGGCAGCUACCUGGACCAACACUGACACUGAGGCACGAAAGCGUGGGGAGCAAACAGGAUUAGAUACCCUGGUAGUCCACGCCCUAAACGAUGCGAACUGGAUGUUGGGUGCAAUUUGGCACGCAGUAUCGAAGCUAACGCGUUAAGUUCGCCGCCUGGGGAGUACGGUCGCAAGACUGAAACUC
RNAcentral lists this ribosomal RNA (527 nucleotides) under uncultured Stenotrophomonas sp. RNAcentral's name for it is "bacterial SSU rRNA". It matches the Rfam family "Bacterial small subunit ribosomal RNA", at positions 382 to 902 of the family's 1533-position model. Lineage: Bacteria; Pseudomonadati; Pseudomonadota; Gammaproteobacteria; Lysobacterales; Lysobacteraceae. The record is from RNAcentral.